GACGAACGCUGGCGGCGUGCUUAACACAUGCAAGUCGAACGGAAAGGCCCUGCUUUUGUGGGGUGCUCGAGUGGCGAACGGGUGAGUAACACGUGAGUAACCUGCCCUUGACUUUGGGAUAACUUCAGGAAACUGGGGCUAAUACCGGAUAGGAGCUCCUGCUGCAUGGUGGGGGUUGGAAAGUUUCGGCGGUUGGGGAUGGACUCGCGGCUUAUCAGCUUGUUGGUGGGGUAGUGGCUUACCAAGGCUUUGACGGGUAGCCGGCCUGAGAGGGUGACCGGCCACAUUGGGACUGAGAAACGGCCCAGACUCCUACGGGAGGCAGAAGUGGGGAAUAUUGCACAAUGGGCGGAAGCCUGAUGCAGCAACGCCGCGUGCGGGAUGACGGCCUUCGGGUUGUAAACCGCUUUCGCCUGUGACGAAGCGUGAGUGACGGUAAUGGGUAAAGAAGCAACGGCUAACUACGUG
Molecule: ribosomal RNA, 468 nt
Filed under: uncultured bacterium
Lineage: Bacteria
Description: partial 16S ribosomal RNA
Rfam family: Bacterial small subunit ribosomal RNA
Source: RNAcentral